This 259-nucleotide ribosomal RNA is filed under the name uncultured prokaryote. Its description in RNAcentral is "partial 16S ribosomal RNA". It matches the Rfam family "Bacterial small subunit ribosomal RNA", at positions 524 to 782 of the family's 1533-position model. The record is from RNAcentral.
UACGUAGGUGGCAAGCGUUGUCCGGAAUCAUUGGGCGUAAAGAGCGCGUAGGUGGCUUGUCAGGUCCGAUGUGAAAACCUGGGGCUCAACUCCAGGCCUGCAUCGGAAACCGGCUUGCUAGAGUCUGGGAGAGGAGAGUGGAAUUCCUGGUGUAGCGGUGAAAUGCGUAGAUAUCAGGAGGAACACCGGUAGCGAAGGCGGCUCUCUGGAACAGUACUGACGCUGAGGCGCGAAAGCUAGGGGAGCGAACAGGAUUAGA